GGGAAAAUUUAUUGCUAUUAGAUGAGCCUAUAUUAGAUUAGCUAGUUGGUGGAGUAAUAGCCUACCAAGGCAAUGAUCUAUAGCUGAUCUGAGAGGAUGAUCAGCCACACUGGAACUGAGAUACGGUCCAGACUCCUACGGGAGGCAGCAGUGGGGAAUAUUGGACAAUGGGCGAAAGCCUGAUCCAGCCAUGCCGCAUGAGUGAAGAAGGCCUUUGGGUUGUAAAGCUCUUUUAGUGAGGAAGAUAAUGACGGUACUCACAGAAGAAGUCCUGGCUAACUCCGUGCCAGCAGCCGCGGUAAUACGGAGAGGGCUAGCGUUAUUCGGAAUUAUUGGGCGUAAAGGGCGCGUAGGCUGAUUAAUAAGUUAAAAGUGAAAUCCCGAGGCUUAACCUUGGAAUUGCUUUUAAAACUAUUAAUCUAGAGAUUGAAAGAGGAUAGAGGAAUUCCUGAUGUAGAGGUAAAAUUCGUAAAUAUUAGGAGGAACACCAGUGGCGAAGGCGUCUAUCUGGUUCAAAUCUGACGCUGAAGCGCGAAGGCGUGGGGAGCAAACAGGAUUAGAUACCCUGGUAGUCCACGCUGUAAACGAUGAAUGUUAAAUAUGGGAAGUUUACUUUC
Molecule: ribosomal RNA, 617 nt
Filed under: Wolbachia endosymbiont of Bemisia tabaci
Lineage: Bacteria; Pseudomonadati; Pseudomonadota; Alphaproteobacteria; Rickettsiales; Anaplasmataceae
Description: bacterial SSU rRNA
Rfam family: Bacterial small subunit ribosomal RNA
Source: RNAcentral